ACGCUCGACACCUACGGGAGGGAGCAGUGGGGAAUAUUGCACAAUGGGGGAAACCCUGAUGCAGCGACGCCGCGUGAGCGAAGAAGUAUUUCGGUAUGUAAAGCUCUAUCAGCAGGGAAGAAACUGACGGUACCUGACUAAGAAGCACCGGCUAAAUACGUACCAGCAGCCGCGGUAAUCUGAGCGGGCUGGCAAGGC
This 198-nucleotide ribosomal RNA is filed under the name uncultured bacterium. Its description in RNAcentral is "partial 16S ribosomal RNA". It matches the Rfam family "Bacterial small subunit ribosomal RNA", at positions 328 to 539 of the family's 1533-position model. The record is from RNAcentral.